UUUUCUGAUUUUCUUUGACUUGGAGCAGAUAAGACAGCAAUGGUAUGGUCACUGAAUAAUCUCCAUGAGGUGAACCUGCUGACAUUGUCUCCAUCUGAAUUGUGCUGGAUUGGAGGGUUCACAGAUCUAGAGCUGAAAGGGCCCUCAAAGGCAAUCUAACCCAAACCCCUCCUGCUACAGAUGAAAAACGUCAGGGUCCAAGAAGUAUCAGUCGAUUGCCCAAAGUCACAGAGGGUCACCAUUGUUUGAUACUGGAAUCUUUGCUGUCACCUGUGAUUCUGUCCUCUCCCUUGAGUCCCACAUUCAAUCAGUGGCCUCCUUCCUGCUGCCAAUGCACAAUUUUUCUAAAACACAUCUCAGAUGAUGUCAUGACCUUGCUUAAUAUAUGCAUAAAUUAUAUAUCUUUAUGUUAUAUACUGACCAUUGUCUUAGCUUGGCACUUAAAGCUUUCCAAGAUCUGGUCCCAAUCUACCUCUUUCAGAAUCAUUUUAUUAUAUUCUGUUAUAGGUUCCCUUUGA
Non-coding RNA from Phascolarctos cinereus (koala), 518 nucleotides. The record is from RefSeq and is a predicted model, not a curated record. NCBI's taxonomy places the organism in Eukaryota, Metazoa, Chordata, Mammalia, Diprotodontia, Phascolarctidae.